Molecule: ribosomal RNA, 253 nt
Filed under: uncultured bacterium
Lineage: Bacteria
Description: partial 16S ribosomal RNA
Rfam family: Bacterial small subunit ribosomal RNA
Source: RNAcentral
UACGAAGGGGGCUAGCGUUGUUCGGAAUUACUGGGCGUAAAGCGCACGUAGGCGGAUAUUUAAGUCAGGGGUGAAAUCCCAGAGCUCAACUCUGGAACUGCCUUUGAUACUGGGUAUCUUGAGUAUGGAAGAGGUAAGUGGAAUUGCGAGUGUAGAGGUGAAAUUCGUAGAUAUUCGCAGGAACACCAGUGGCGAAGGCGGCUUACUGGUCCAUUACUGACGCUGAGGAGCGAAAGCGUGGGGAGCGAACAGG